RNAcentral lists this ribosomal RNA (453 nucleotides) under rape rhizosphere bacterium tsb088. Its description in RNAcentral is "bacterial SSU rRNA". It matches the Rfam family "Bacterial small subunit ribosomal RNA", at positions 27 to 477 of the family's 1533-position model. The record is from RNAcentral.
GAUUGAACGCUGGCGGCAUGCCUUACACAUGCAAGUCGAACGGUAACAGGUCUUCGGACGCUGACGAGUGGCGAACGGGUGAGUAAUACAUCGGAACGUGCCCAGUCGUGGGGGAUAACUACUCGAAAGAGUAGCUAAUACCGCAUACGAUCUGAGGAUGAAAGCGGGGGACCUUCGGGCCUCGCGCGAUUGGAGCGGCCGAUGGCAGAUUAGGUAGUUGGUGGGAUAAAAGCUUACCAAGCCGACGAUCUGUAGCUGGUCUGAGAGGACGACCAGCCACACUGGGACUGAGACACGGCCCAGACUCCUACGGGAGGCAGCAGUGGGGAAUUUUGGACAAUGGGCGAAAGCCUGAUCCAGCAAUGCCGCGUGCAGGAUGAAGGCCUUCGGGUUGUAAACUGCUUUUGUACGGAACGAAAAAGCUUCUCCUAAUACGAGAGGCCCAUGACGGUA